GAGUGCACUACGCCAUCAUUCAUGCACCUAUGGUGGUCCUUUGCAAAGACCUCCUCUAGUUUGGAGGCCAUGGCAUCUUUCAAACCACAAACCAUGAUGAUGGGACGGAACCCAAGUGGGGUUUUCAGUUCAUCGUACACUCAAAAUCAUUGUACAAUUAGCAGGAGAAUGUCCAAACCCCAUGAACACGCAUCAUGAGUUAUUCCUUGCAUCCAGCUGGUUUUCUUCAAUGCAUAGGGAAUGCUCGCGAAACCCUUUUUAGGCAAGAAAUAUAGGUGACAACUGAAGGAAGAAGAGUAUGUAAUAAUAUACAUGAUCAAAUAGAGGGAGGAACCAUGGAUGUGAUUUCUUAAUUUUACUGUUUCAAAGCACCAUCCCAAACAACAUACAAUGAUGCUGGGUUCUUGCAAGACUUGAAGCUAAUCGAGCACAGCUAAAUUCUAUAUGAUCCUCUCUGAUGCUAAAUCAAGCAACGUACGAAAGAAUUUGUGAGGAUACAUGGGAGGUUGUUCUGCUAGCGCCUGAGAAACACAGCAAAUUCUAGCUCAUUAGGACACAAGUAACUAGUUACUUAUGAAAUGAAUUAAUAUAGCUUGCUUGAUUGUAUGUAAUGAAACAUAUAAUGUAAUGGAUCGUUAUAAUCCUACGUUCGGUUGUAUAAUUUUCAAGAUUUUAAUGUUAUGGAUCAUUACAAUUAUAA
Molecule: long non-coding RNA, 700 nt
Organism: Populus trichocarpa (black cottonwood)
Lineage: Eukaryota; Viridiplantae; Streptophyta; Magnoliopsida; Malpighiales; Salicaceae
Exons: 2
Source: RefSeq, a predicted model, not a curated record